RNAcentral lists this ribosomal RNA (500 nucleotides) under uncultured bacterium. Its description in RNAcentral is "bacterial SSU rRNA". It matches the Rfam family "Bacterial small subunit ribosomal RNA", at positions 37 to 518 of the family's 1533-position model. The record is from RNAcentral.
CGUGGCGGCGUGCUUAACACAUGCAAGUCGAACGAAGCAUCCCGCCCGAGAAAUGGAGUGCUUGCACAAAGUGGACUCAAUUGGGAUGACUGAGUGGCGGACGGGUGAGUAACGCGUGGGUAACCUGCCCUAUACAGGGGGAUAGCAGUUGGAAACGACUGAUAAUACCGCAUAAGCGCACAGGAUCGCAUGAUCUGGUGUGAAAAACUCCGGUGGUAUAGGAUGGACCCGCGUCUGAUUAGCUAGUUGGUGAGGUAACGGCUCACCAAGGCGACGAUCAGUAGCCGACCUGAGAGGGUGACCGGCCACAUUGGGACUGAGACACGGCCCAAGCUCCCACGGGAGGCAGCAGUGGGGAAUAUUGCACAAUGGGCGAAAGCCUGAUGCAGCGAACCGCCGCGUGAGUGAUGAAGUAUUUCGGUAUGUAAAGCUCUAUCAGCAGGGAAGAUAAUGACGGUACCUGACUAAGAAGCACCGGCUAAAUACGUGCCAGCAGCCGC